Molecule: small nuclear RNA, 79 nt
Filed under: Homo sapiens (human)
Lineage: Eukaryota; Metazoa; Chordata; Mammalia; Primates; Hominidae
Description: partial ncRNA
Source: RNAcentral
AGAAGAAUGGCUUGAACCUGGAGGCGGAGGUUGCAGUGAGCUGAGAUCACACCACUGCACUCCAGCCUGGGCGACAGAA